This 2470-nucleotide long non-coding RNA is filed under the name Daucus carota (carrot). RNAcentral describes it as "long non-coding RNA (DCAR_LNC007649)". The record is from RNAcentral. Lineage: Eukaryota; Viridiplantae; Streptophyta; Magnoliopsida; Apiales; Apiaceae.
UAAAAUUUAAAUAUUAUAUUAAUAAUAUAAAUAAAAUUAUGAAGUGGUAUCAUAGUGUGUGUGAAUGUAAGGUUGCAUGACUGGAGCUUCCUGUAAAUAACUGGGGGAGGAUGGAAGUCUACAGUACACACACCCCAAACAGUGUGCAUUCCAAAUAUCCAAUACAAACCGCAAACAAUUUAUAAAACCCUGAAUAACUCAAAACUUAAAAGUGGGAAGCAAAACAAACGAUGCACUCGAGAAACCAUGUUAUACUGGUGAUGUGAGACCGCACCUGUUCUAUUACUGACCUGCUUUAGCGCAACAGAAGUUCUAAAUCUCCACUAAGUUUUGUUCCUAUGAAGAUUAUGCAAAUUAUAUAUCAUAUAAAUAUAAAAGUGCGCCAAUAGCCCUGAACAUAUAUUCCAACAAUUUGAGAAAUAAAUAUAUAUAUUACAUGUAUCUCAUGUGGAUUAUGUCAAGUUGUCAACAGGUUAAGUCACGGAAAAAAGUUAAAUAUUUAUAAAUGCAGCAUCAAACUGAGAAAGAGAGAAGGGAAAUCCAUUUGACAGAUAUCCAAAUAUUCAAAAAAAACGAAAGCAAUUUUAGCUAGUCUUCCUGGCAAUCGGCUUACCCUAUGGCAGAUCACUGGUUCUUACAAGGUGCAGAAACACUUGGUUGAGACGGCAAGUAUAACUGUAUAAGUGUAUAAUCACUUGUAAUCCACUUGCACACACAACUGACAUAACAAAUACAAAAUUUACAUACCGUUGUCAUCGAAGGCUCAACUCUCCGAUUCCCCUCCCUACCUUAGAAACUUCUACUGUUUAUGGGCUCCAGUCUCGUUGGUCGCUGCCUCAGAAACACCUGGUUGAGGCGGCAAAUCAGUAUAAUCACUUGUAAUCCACUUGUACACAAUUGACAUAACAAAAUUCCAAAUUACAUACCUAUGCAAUCGUCGAAGGCUCAGCUCUUCGAUUCCCCUACUUUGGAAUUUCGACUGUUUAUGGGCUCUACUCUCGCUGUCUGAUUUAUGGGCUACUACAAAAUACAUGUGAACAUCUGGAGGCUGGAAUCAAAUCAUGAGUUAGACAACACUUUUAUCAUUAAAAGAGAUAUAAGAACUGGAGGAUAUCCAAAGGUGCAGAAUACUUAUGCUAGAAGAUCUAGUUAUUUUGAGCAAAGACAUCCAUUUUACAUAUAUUACAGUAUAUGAAUCACCGGUGUGCUCGUCUUGGCUACGUUUGUCACAUCAUAUGGAUGAUAGUACCAAAGCUGUAAGUUAUCGUCCAACUUAUAAAAGUAUCAAGCUUAAUUCGAUAUUUCACAAUGACCAUAGAGAUUAAGUUUUACCAAGUAAAAUUAAAUUCCUGAAAGUAAAGGUUCUCAACAAUUGUAUUAACUCUACUUAAGCCUACAUACUGAUUUUGAUUAAUGAUUCAGAAUAAACGGAAUCCAGGAACCUAUAUCUCGUAUAUUCAUUUCUAGAAACAAAUGAAGAGGCAAAAGAUAUUUGGAUGAUCAUCAAAGAAAUAGAUAAAAUAAAAUUUUGAAAUCAGGUCCCAUUAAGCGAGCAAGUUUACUAAAAUGUAUUACGAAACCAAUAUAGCAACAAUUUUAAAGCAUUUACUUAAUUUUAUAUUCUACUUUAAGUAGAACUCACCAAACUUAUAAUAACGGGGACAAGCAAGCGGAAAAAUUUACCUUAAUGGAGACCACCAUCCGGAAUAAGACAAUUAUGAUCUGCCUCAGAUAUAAGAUCCUGCAUUAGAGAAGUUCUCAUAUUUUUUUAAAUCUCACAACAUACGAAAUCGUGAUUUAAUUGAUUAUAAUUUGAUUAAAAAAUAGCAUUGAAAUAGACAUAUUUGAUUAAAAUAUCAUAUCAUGUCACAUUACCAAUAAAUAUCAUUUUCUUAUUACAUCUACCUUAUUAUUUCCAGUCAAAUCCUUCUUCCUCUGUCCCAUGCUAAACACACAGCCACCACAUCUUUAGUCGUCCUCUUCCACUUCUUUUAUACAUGUAACAUGAUAGCCAUUGUGAAGGAAAAAUUAUGGCCGUUUUAUCAGAAGUAUGCUGGGUUAUGCUUGGAGACUCAAGGAUUUCCUCAGUGAAUCAGCCGAAUUCCCCUUCACAAAUUGCAAGUCCAGGUGAGACCUAUAAGCACAUUCUGGUCUAUAGGUUCAUAGCAAAGUAGAAUGAAGCAUCUGGCUAUUAUAAAAUUUAAAUAUUAUAUUAAUAAUAUAAAUAAAAUUAUGAAGUGGUAUCAUAGUGUGUGUGAAUGUAAGGUUGCAUGACUGGAGCUUCCUGUAAAUAACUGGGGGAGGAUGGAAGUCUACAGUACACACACCCCAAACAGUGUGCAUUCCAAAUAUCCAAUACAAACCGCAAACAAUUUAUAAAACCCUGAAUAACUCAAAACUUAAAAGUGGGAAGCAAAACAAACGAUGCACUCGAGAAACCAUGUUAUACUGGUGAUGUGAGACCGCACCU